GCCUCGGCAGAAGGACCAGACGGAGUCCAGUGUGGAAGGGAGCAAGAAGGAAGGGACAAUUUUUUCGGGUCGAUUAUUGUUGUUCUGGGUUGAUUACCACAUCAACUAAGUUGUGUUCUCUUUUAAGCUCUCGAUCUGGAGCUGUACAUGCCCAGGAUGGUCUUGACGGCGCUGCUGCUUCUACUGGUUAAUUAUGAGGACUUGGUGCUCCAUUAUCUCCUCAUGUCACUUAUGUGGGUGGCGAGGAGAUCAACGAGAUGUCUCGCACCUCCGGUGCACGAUGACAAGAUGGUGGGGCCUUUUGGCGUUCUUGCAAUCCGGUUUCCUCGGCCAGAGUUGGACGACCUUGCCAGCAACACCUCUUCAUCUCGAACUUGUCACUAGAUGCCAAAGGAGAGGUGUAGAUUCGGGAUCAGUGGUGCAUUGCUUACUAAAAAGUAGAGCUUUGAACAAUUACUUUUGAACAAAAGGACAGAUGGAUUAUCUCGAUCAUUGCCCAACAUUGGACAAUAAUAAUAUUUCCCCUUCAUACAGUGGAGCUGGAGUGCUUAAAGGAAUUUUAAUGAAAAAUAAUCCUCUUGAACUCUCUUCUAUCUCCAUGGCUGAUAUGUUGAUGCUCUUGCCUUCCUCAUGUGUGAGGUCCAGCACUUCAAUGCCAAGGCUGGAAUUGCUUUGGGACAGACUGAGCAUGGGUGAAAGCAAGGCUGUUGGACGACGGCAGCUGCCUGGCGGCGGCGGUGGGUGGAUGACGGUGGCCACCGAGCAACCCGC
Non-coding RNA from Lolium perenne, 771 nucleotides. The record is from RefSeq and is a predicted model, not a curated record. Lineage: Eukaryota; Viridiplantae; Streptophyta; Magnoliopsida; Poales; Poaceae.